AGGUCACUUUGAAUUAUCUUUUUAAGUUAGUGCCCAAAAAAUAUAUUCUCAGUAGUCUGUCUAGAAAAUAAAUUAUGAGAGGAUGAUGAACAUAAUCAAUGUUUUUGGGAGGUUACUUGUUUGGUUUUGGGGCAUUUUAAGGGUUUUGUUUUGUUUUGUUCUGUUUUUAUUAAAACCUGUUUCUCUGUCCAAAUAAUACUUUCUGGAGGAUAUGUCUGUGGUUCAGGAAUUGUGGUAUGAUCAUUGUGUUAUCUGACAUUUUGUAAUGAGAAACUGUAUCCAUUGCCUACUACACUUUUAAGAGAAGAAAAUCUUUGCCAUGAAAAUCUUCCCAUGGUGGAUGCACAUCAAGUCACACCAAGUUCACUCUCAGGAUGGAGAAGGGGUUGCAAGUUCCCUUACUUCCCUCUAAAAUGUCUCUGAAAUGAAGAAUGACAAAAGAAAAACCACCCAAGACUAAAAAGGAAUUUUUCUGGGGUCUAAACAUGAGCAAAAACCUUGGACAAUCAUUUCACACUUGCAGACCUGAGUUCAAAAUCCACUACCAGUGUUCCCAGGAGUCGACUGUGCAACACUGAUGGGACUAAUGGGGUUGUUGAAUUUCACUGCAAGGAUGAUUUCCUCUGGUUGAAAGAAUUUGGAAAACUGCUGCCAUUCAGCAGGCUGAGAGAUGCAGCCUAAAGCUGUGUAUUGAAAAUGCCACCCAGAUGUAACCCCAGUUAGUGAUUAAGAGGUAUGAAAAUGUAGGGGAAAAAAUCCAUAAUUUGGAAAAUUGUGAAGAUCUACUGGAUUUGGUUGGGAUGAAGUUUGGCUUUGUGCUGAGCACAGUGAUGAUAACACAGAGAUGUUUUAGUUACUGCUGAGCAGAGCUUACACAGAGCCAAAGCCUUUUCUGCUUCUCACACUGCCACACUGGCAGGGAAGCUGGGGGUGCUUGGGAGAGUGGGAGGAGACACAGCCAGGAAAGGUGACCCCAGCUGACCAAAUGCCUCCUCAUGACAUCACCUUCAAGAUACAAAGUGGAGGGAAGAAGAGGGAAGGGGGCAUGUUGGGCAUGAUGACAUUUGUCUUCCCAAGUGACACUUAGGUGUGGUGGGCACUGCUCUCCUGGAGAUGGCUGAACUCCUGCCUGCCCAUGGGAAGUGGUGAAUGAACUCCUUGGUUUGUUUUGCUUGCAUGUGUGGCUUCUGCUUUCCCUAUCAAACUCUCUUUGUCUCAACCCUCGAGUUUUCCAGCUUUCACCCUUCCAAUUCUCAGCCGAAUUCUGCUGGUGGGGGCGGGGGUGAAUGAGUGGCUGCAAGGGGCUUAGCUGCUGGCUGGGGUUAAACCAUGACAGGUAAAAAUGUCAGUGGUCCAUUUUUUGAGGCCUGUUGUGAUGUGGGUGAUGUGGUCUGUCAGUUCUUUAUCUUUUUUUUUUUUUUUUUUUUUUUUGGGUCAUUCUGGGAGCAAGCUAUUUAUUAUACAAAGUAAUCUGCAGACUAAACCUUCCCAGAUCCUUGCAUUGCUAAUUCCAGUAAGUUGCACCCUCACUGUAAGCAAUAUGAAUGAUGUAUAAAACUUACCAUCAUGUGGCUGAUACUUUUACAGAGUCCCUGCAGAUACAAAUCAAAGUGAUGAGUGGACUGCUGAUAACGAAGAACACAACUGUGUCUUUGCAGGAAGUUCAGUUAGAUAAAUCAAUGCAAAAAUAAUAAACUUGUUAAAUGUUCCUUAAA
Molecule: long non-coding RNA, 1715 nt
Organism: Haemorhous mexicanus (house finch)
Lineage: Eukaryota; Metazoa; Chordata; Aves; Passeriformes; Fringillidae
Exons: 3
Source: RefSeq, a predicted model, not a curated record